CUAGAGAAGACAUGUCGGCCCAUGAGAUGUUAGUGAGAGUUCGAAAUUUCUCCCAGUCGGCUGUGUCUAUCUUCCACCUAGGAGCUUGUGGAGGACAUUCGUUUUCUUUAGAUGUUCUUAUCAGUAUCGGGAAGUGGUCGCUCCCGUAAGGAUUGUUCAUAACUUCCCAUUCGAGUUCAGGCAGUAUACACGGGGAAACUAGGCUGAGGUCAAUUGAUGAAAAUGUUCUGUUGGCGAGAGAAUAAUAUGUGGGUGCCUUCUUAUUCAGCAGGCAUGCACCAGAAGAGAAGAGGAACUGUUCAACAAGACGACCUCGCGCAUCUAUACGAGAGUCGCCCCACAGGGAGCUGUGCGCAUUGAAGUCGCCAAGAACAACAUAGGGUUCUGGCAGUUCAUCUAUAAAGGACUGAAAUUCAUGUUUAGUUAAUUUGUAAUGUGGGGGUAUAUAAAGCGAGCAAAUAGUGAUGAGUUUGUUUAGCAGAACAACUCGCACCGCCACUGCUUCAAGGGGCGUUCGAAGCUGUAAAGGUUGACAUGCUAUACUUUUAUGUGUGAGAAUCGCAACACCACCCGAUGAUGCGAUGGCAUCAUCGCGAUCUUUACGAAACGUAACAUACGUACGGAGAAAGUUUGCGUGUCUGGAUUUUAAAUGUGUUUCCUGUAAACACAGCACUUUUGGAUUAUGUUUGUGGAUGAGUUCUUGCAAAUCAUCAAGGUUUGUAAGGAGACCUCUAAUGUUCCAUUGAAUGAUUUGUGUAUCCAUACUUAAAAUAAAUUGGUGCUGUGUUUACGGAAACGGACGGGAUGCCUUAGAUUACAGAACCCUUUCGAGGCCCUGUAAUAGGGGUUUUGUUCUUUCUGGAGCGUUCGAGGGAGCCUCGCCGCUCCUUAGGCGCUUGGUGCGCCUUGAGGAUGGGUGUAGUGUCCAUUGCCUCUUGUGAGGCGCCGGACACGUGCUCUUGCGAGCGGGAAGAUUUCAGAGGGAGUCCCGCCUUGGAGGGCAAGACCCCUGCGCCCACCAGCCCGGAGGUCGAUGGGGCUCCCAGAGGGAUUUGGCUACGCCGGCCGUUGCCAGCGCAUGAAGGAACCUCGGAAGUUGAGGCAGCCUCGGCUGCGCCCUCCUUCGGGGUCGAUGGUUCCUUCUCCUCGGUUGACGGAGCAGCGCUAGCUGCAACCGUCGCGGGGGCAGAUGGCGUGACUGCCGACUCACUGCUUGUGGGUCGGACAGCCGCCGGAGGCCGUUGUGACGCUGCCCCCUGACGCGCCACUUCGGCAAAGCUUUUCUUUGGCAGGAUGGGCACGACCGUGAGUACGCGGCGUGAUCCCCAUCACAGUUUACACAGUGUAGAGAGUUCUUACAUUCUUCAGUUGCGUGUUCAAGGGCACUGCAUUUGGCGCAUGUUUGGCGGCCUCGGCAGCUCUGCGAGCUGUGGCCAAAACGUUGGCAUUUGAAACAUCUCAAGGGAUUUGGCACAUACGGGCGUACACGAAGCUUGAUGUACCCGGCCUCGAUUGACUCGGGCAGGACACUUGAAUUGAAGCCCUCCAAGAGCUCAGCCUCAGAGAGCUCCAGCAAAUCAUCGUCCGAGACAACGCCGCGGGAAGUAUUCAUCGUGCGGUGCGGGGUUACUACUACUUGGGUCUCCCCAAAUGAUACUAGCUGAGGCAGUUUUUCAAAUUGCUUCUGAUCGCGGAGCUCCAGGAGGAGGUCUCCGCUAGCCAUCCUCGACACCUUAUAUCCUGGACCAAAAACUUCGAGUGGAUCACGUGAAAACGAGGGAAGGAUUCUUUUUGUCGACCAAAAAACUGGAAUAAAUCAUCGGUGCGCCCUCUUUUCUGAGGGCGAUCAGGAAGUGGAGGGAAGGAUGUUGCCAUAAAGGAAUUGAAUUUUCGGCAAUAACGCCAGCCACCCACCAUGGAGUCCUACAAGGGGACGCUACAGAGACUGUAAGAACAGGUCCUGUAAACGCCAGCUGUACGUCAUCACUAUAACCAAAUAUGAAAUAACCUAGGUUGGUUAAUCACACAAGGUUAACCCUUGCUGCCUGGAAACUAUGGAAGUAAGCGGAAGGAAGGAGCAGACAGGAAAGAUGAAAAGUGAGAGAAAGACGAAGGCUGGAGGGAGAGAGAGACAGGAAAAGGCAACUACCGAUUUCCCCCGGGUGGGUCAGUCCGGGGGGGCCGUCUAUGUGAAGCAGAGGCCAAAGGGGUGUGUGGCGUCCGCCGGGGGGCCUUAAAGGUCCAGACACCCAGCAUCGGCUCAACCCCCAGGAUCCCCCUUUCCCCAGACACGGCUAAGCCGCGCACGGCUACACGCGGGAGGGUCCAACCCUCGUGUGCUCGGGUACGUGGUGUCGCAACACACCAAACGCCUGCUGACGCAGACGCCCCUG
RNAcentral lists this long non-coding RNA (2393 nucleotides) under Dermacentor andersoni. RNAcentral's name for it is "uncharacterized LOC126540676". The record is from RNAcentral. Lineage: Eukaryota; Metazoa; Arthropoda; Arachnida; Ixodida; Ixodidae.